This 218-nucleotide long non-coding RNA is filed under the name Elaeis guineensis (African oil palm). Its description in RNAcentral is "long non-coding RNA (EGUI_LNC043411)". The record is from RNAcentral. Lineage: Eukaryota; Viridiplantae; Streptophyta; Magnoliopsida; Arecales; Arecaceae.
AAAUUAUCAUAAAUUUAUAAAUUUAAUAAUUAAAAUUAAAAUUUCAUAAUUUUUUAUAAAGUCAAAAAUAAUUUUUUGAUUUUAAAGAUCGAUGCUAAAAAUCGAAACAAUAUUCUUGGCAAUAUGUGAACAAGAAUAAUUCUGCACUACUACUUUACACUUGUUUGAUCGAAUCUAACAAGGAUGGCUCCGAUACCACUAUUGAAUUCUGACCACAC